CGAAGAUUUGGAGGCCUCCGGAGGCCUCAGCCGCUUAACGUCGUUUUCGUCGAUGUCUGUGCGCCGCGUGGUGUUGCUAGAUCGCGUGUGGACUAUGCGGUGCUCAGUCGUCGAAUCGCGCUGGCAGGCUCCGACCGCUCGAUUGAACUGCAUCAUCACAAGUUCUGAAACGCGUGUACAGGUGCGUUGUUCUUGCCUCGCGAACAAAUCGACACACCGCGGCUCGUGGCAUCCUCCAACCCCUCGCCUUCUCCAUGCCUCCCCUUGCGAGUCACAACCAUCCUUGACACGCGAUCAAAUCCAGUGCUAAACAAGCCUCGCCUCCUCCGCUCGCCUUCCGCGCCAUUGGUAGCUUCCUCCAACCUGCCGACGCUAGCGUCCUGCUCCGCCGUGUGCCUUGAAGACACUCCCAUGGCCACCGGCGUCCUCCUCCGACCACAUGCCAAUCCUGUCCCCAACCCUGACGAAACGGCCAGUGGCGGCGAUGCGGCCAACCCGCCUGCUACCUUUCUCUCCUCAGCCCCUCAUUUUGGAAUGGAAGACGACGGCUGCGAUGGCCUCGAUUUCAGUCUUCCCCGCCCGCCGUGGAGGGCUCCGCCUCCGGAUCUGGCACCACCACGUCCUCCAUCUCUUAUCUGAGUUGCCUAAAACCGGCUGCCACGAUCCGGAACGCGAGGGCUCUGAUGGAAGGAACGACGUCGUUCCAAACUAGAGCCUCAAAACAGAUGAGUCUUAAUUUCAACAACGGGUCGCACAGGGAUGCUUGAUUUAGCGCCUGAAGGCUGCGAGCCCCCGCACAAUCAAUGUGCUUUGGAACAAAUGUCGUGGCUCUGUGUCUGCCUUAUCAAUGCUAUGUUUAUUCAGGUAUGCUGAUUGAGGCUUCCACCAAAUUAUGCCGAGUACCAGGGGAAAUAUGCUAUUAUCUAUGUGUAUCGCUACAGUUUCAUUCAUCUCCUACGUUGCCUUAAAGGAUUAUACAGAACUUUCACAUGUUCUUUGCAGAUCAAGAUAAGAGGUACGAAGAUAUCAUUCCAUUCCUACUUUAUCAUAUGAUAUACAUUGCAUAGUCUCCUUAGAAUUUCUUUGUAAAACAUUGUGUCUGCCUACCUCUCUUUCAGAUUGCAUACAAGAAUUUUGUCGACAACUAAAGUUUUGGAAAUAAUCCGUUCAGACAUGACAGCAAUCAACUUAAGUAUAUUAUUUUAGUUUGCACAAAAUUUCCAAGCCAUAUGGGUCAUUUGAGUUUGUCCAGAUACAAGGGAUUAAAAUGAAUUGUCAUUUUAAUUCAAGUUAUUGUAUGAACAUAGCCCCUAAUAUGGUUUUAGAAGAAGCAAACAAUGAUUAACAUUGCAGGACACCAAGGUCCAGUUCAAUAGCAUCUUUAAGGAUGGAAUGGGCAGCCUGGAAUCACACUCACUUUUUGUCACUUUUCAUUCUAAUAGAUUCAGAUGUUUUUUAGCAAAAAAAAACCCUGAAAUUUGCCUCGCAUUGUCUAAGAAUGUUGACAUGUAUCUAGCAAUGAUAUGGUUACCAGAAACAAGCACAAACAUAUUUCGACCAUGGUUAGUGGUUGUCGUUGUGCUAUUCUUUUUUCAUUAUAGGAAAACAUUUUCUGCACAUCUUAAUGCAAUUUGGUUCAUACUGGCUUGAGAUAAAGAGGUGAUCUUCUCAAUUAGUCCUUACAUUAGGUGGCACUACUCUCUUUAAUGAGUCUGGAUGUAGCAUCAACCAAGAAGUUUUUAAAUAAAAAACUGCAGUUGCAAUCGACAAGUUGAUAAAAUUCACAUCCCUAGAUCUAUAGACUCUAAAGUUUGCAGGUUUUAGUAUUUAUCUAUAUUCCAGCUACAACUGAGAUGUGAACAACCAUUGUGUGUCGUGUAUGGCUCACCUAGAUUGUUCUUGCAAAUCUUUAUGUAAUUCCAUUGAUUACACGUCUAUUCUGAUAUCAUUAGUGUUUUUGUUGUAGCCUGGUGCGUACCUUAUCUACCCAUCUAUUUGUGUUGUGGCUUAAGAUUUUCAAACUCCAUUAUACUCUUAUUCUGCACACUUUUGGUUAUAUACGAAUUUAACUUCUGCUACCUUUCUGUAGCAAGCACAGAUAGUAGUUGGUGUAUUUCUUUUCAUAAUGGUAUGUAUAAUAUUUUUUUCUCAUCUCAGUCUGAUCCUUCUUUUUCUUUACUUAUUUUCCAGGCGUUGGUUGUUCCGAUUGCUCUGCUAAGGAAAUUGAUUUUACCUGAAACCUGAAAAGCAUGCAUGCAUGCCUGCUAACCAGCGGUACCAUCAUUAAGAACACCUAUUGUUCAUUGCAUUAUCGUAUUCUGGGGACUGCUUAUCACAUCUCCAAUAAUGAUUUCUCAUCUUUUGUACUGUUAUUCAUCAUUUAGUGAUAAAAAUUAGACCAACUGGGAGUCUGGGAUGCUCAUUCUCAAGUGGAGACCGUACCAAUUGCACAAUACCCCUCUUCACACAGCAAUGUCUUUUAAAGAUUGGUACCAGGAAAGUGCUAUGAUUUUAGCUGAUUGUUAUAAUGUGUCCUGACAACUGAUUUUGUUUCUUGGGGUUUUCUCCUUUCCUGCUUCAGACUUUUUAGCAUGAUUCGGCAAUCCAUGUCCCUUGCAUAAAAUUAGGUGCCUUUACAAACUCUCACCAGUCACAUUUUUACAUUAGAACACUCAUUUCUUAUGUAUAAUUCUAUUUUUAUGUUUUCUAUUUAUGGAUAUCCUGUAAUUUGUUGGACUAAAAGGUAUAGUGGACAUAAAUUAUGUACCCUUUAUAUUACUGAAUGAUUUGACAAGUGGGAUACUUUUUUCCUCCCUUA
Molecule: long non-coding RNA, 2818 nt
Organism: Panicum virgatum (switchgrass)
Lineage: Eukaryota; Viridiplantae; Streptophyta; Magnoliopsida; Poales; Poaceae
Exons: 3
Source: RefSeq, a predicted model, not a curated record